GACGAAUUUUCGGAAAUUUUGACCUAUAAAAGGGCUAAAAACAGCCUUUUCGAGUGCAAAUGGGGGGGGGGGUGUUUUUCGGAAAUUAAAAGGCUUAGCCCCCCACCGGAAAAAGUGAAUUUCCGCCACUGUUUCCCCAUUCCGGACAGAGUACAAGAAUCUGAGCACAGCAUGUCGUUGAUCACAUUUAGCGCAACUGGCAUUAAACAGAGUAAAAUAAUAAGGUAGGGUGCAUUGUGGAACAAUGGACUCGUGUAUUUUUACUUAUUUCUAACAGGUUACACAACAAAACAAAC
This is a non-coding RNA of Paramuricea clavata, 296 nucleotides long. The record is from the annotation of a GenBank genome assembly. NCBI's taxonomy places the organism in Eukaryota, Metazoa, Cnidaria, Anthozoa, Malacalcyonacea, Plexauridae.